AGCAACAGCCUGUCAUUUGUGGCGUGCUUUUGAGGGAGUGAAUUGCCUUGAAGGUUGUGGAAUAACACUCAUGCUAAUCUGAGCGUCCUUGCAAGUGCUUUAAAGGUCUUAAACUAUCUGGAGAGUGUCUUAGGCCGAGUGUUCCCAGUGUGCUGCGAACCUGCACUAUACGCCUGUUCAGUGUGGACUUGCACUCCUGCCAUUCCCCCAGGGGCCGUUUUGAACCAGGGCCAAAACUUUCACAGCGGGUCAAAAGUCUGCACUCCUCCUCUCACUAACCCACAGGCGGGUGCCCUGCUCACCUCACACCAGAGGCAGACCCUGCUGGAGGACUGAGGUUAGCGCACACCGCUAACAGCACUGAAACCAGGGCAGUGCCGUAUGAUGGGCCCUUCAUGAUUUCCAAGCAAAGGAGUGCGGUUGCCCAGAGCAUGACUGUACAAAUGAAUGUACGUACACACACAUAUGCAUACAUUCUCCAUAGAUACAGCUCAUUCAUAUUGCUCAUGUUUGUUUGCUUUGGCAGGACGCGUCAGGGAAAACAUGUUGCCUUCUCUAAAGAGCUGAACCUUAAGGGCCCCCUAGAACAUAAAGAUGUGAUCUGAGCCCUCGGCCGUGUGGUUUCGGUCAGGAGGGACGCUAACCGAAUCCAGUUGGUAGCUAGUGUGCUGGAAUGAAUGUGGUGACAGGGCUAGUAAUUACCCACAGAAUGAAGGGCAGCAAUUGCUAAAGCCUAUUCAGUUCUUUUCUGCAUUAGGAGGCCAUUUUACAUGUCUCUCAAAAUGCACCACAAAGGAUGGCCAACACCCGUUUCUAUCUUUAGAAGGGGGAAUCCACCCAAAGCUGUCAAUCAUGUGGUCUAAUCUCUCAGAAAAAAAAAGGUAAGUCAGAGCACACAGCUUAAUACUGUAAAUACAUUAAUUUAUACAGAAAUAUAAAUUGAGAACAUCAGCCAUUUUCUCAAUGAAGGCAUCCCCAUUUAUUAGAUCAAGAAGCAUGAUUGUGAUUAUGUAGGGAAAAUGUGGGAGAAAAGUAAAGCAUGUGUACACCUGAAAAUAUGCAGCAUUUCUAAGAAAACAAGCACAGGACUAAAGAUUUAUCUGCUUCUGGACUUUACUCACUGCUUACUUUUUCUUGGACUCCGUCUAUGUUUUUCCAAGAGCUGGGAACUAUGCAGAAAAAGGUCAAAGAAAUAAUGAUUUGGAAAAAAAAAAAAUGUGUAUUAAUUUUUUGUAAUACUAAAUUACAGCCUUAUGAAAAGCAGGGAUUAAUGGACUCAGUCCUGCUUUGUAUAUCUCACUGGCACUCAGUGAAGAAACACUUUAUAAAUCACACUAGACG
This is a long non-coding RNA of Cyprinus carpio carpio, 1341 nucleotides long. The record is from Ensembl. NCBI's taxonomy places the organism in Eukaryota, Metazoa, Chordata, Actinopteri, Cypriniformes, Cyprinidae.